AGUCAUGUUCCCAGAGUAUCCAGAUAUCUACAACUUUACUCAAGAAAUCAAGGCAACAUUCAAUCAUAACUGUAUGCUGCCUGGAAUACAAUUACUGGAUAGUGGGAUUGGACAUUUUCCAGCUAUUUCUUCUGGGGAGCAUUGUUCUUCUAUCUGUCUAGAAAUACCUGAUUGUAAGUCAUGGACUAUAGACUUAAGAAUAAGUCGGUGUUGGGCAGCAUCCGGUCAGUGGAGGUACGCUUAUGAUGACAAAUUCAUUACCGGGUCUAAAGGAUGCUAGAAGAACCAACAUCACACAGAUUAAAGAUAUGCUAGAGGAGUUGAUACAUUUUUUCUGCAAGAAAUUUUUAUAUUAAAAGCUUUUUUAGUUAAAAUAUUAAAAAUUAAUCAAUGCGGGAUAGAAACCAGAGAGUUGUUGUAAUAAAACCUGUGUCAGUUUAUAGUUUAUACAUAUACUACAUAUGGCAUCAAAUGAUACGCGUCUGAAGCCAGUUUCUGCAUUGCAAAAUUGUAAAUUAUAAAUAAAAACCUAAUCUUAA
Molecule: long non-coding RNA, 539 nt
Organism: Eurytemora carolleeae
Lineage: Eukaryota; Metazoa; Arthropoda; Copepoda; Calanoida; Temoridae
Exons: 4
Source: RefSeq, a predicted model, not a curated record